GGCGAAGCAGAGCUUGCUCUUGGAUCAUGGCGAACGGGUGAGUAACACGUGAGCAAUCUGCCCCUGACUCUGGGAUAAGCGCUGGAAACGGCUGCUAAUACCGGAUACGAGCUGCGAAGGCAUCUUCAGCAGCUGGAAAGAAUUUCGGUCAGGGAUGAGCUCGCGGCCUAUCAGCUUGUUGGUGAGGUAAUGGCUCACCAAGGCGUCGACGGGUAGCCGGCCUGAGAGGGUGACCGGCCACACUGGGACUGAGACACGGCCCAGACUCCUACGGGAGGCAGCAGUGGGGAAUAUUGCACAAUGGGCGCAAGCCUGAUGCAGCAACGCCGCGUGAGGGAUGACGGCCUUCGGGUUGUAAACCUCUUUUAGCAAGGAAGAAGCGAAAGUGACGGUACUUGCAGAAAAAGCCCGGCUAACUACGUGCCAGCAGCCGCGGUAAUACGUAGGGUGCAAGCGUUAUCCGGAAUUAUUGGGCGUAAAGAGCUCGUAGGCGGUUUGUCGCGUCUGCUGUGAAACUGGGGCUCAACCCCAGCCUGCAGUGGGUACGGGCAGACUAGAGUGCGGUAGGGGAGAUUGGAAUUCCUGGUGUAGCGGUGGAAUGCGCAGAUAUCAGGAGGAACACCGAUGGCGAAGGCAGAUCUCUGGGCCGUAACUGACGCUGAGGAGCGAAAGGGUGGG
This 678-nucleotide ribosomal RNA is filed under the name Microbacterium diaminobutyricum. Its description in RNAcentral is "bacterial SSU rRNA". It matches the Rfam family "Bacterial small subunit ribosomal RNA", at positions 68 to 765 of the family's 1533-position model. The record is from RNAcentral. Lineage: Bacteria; Bacillati; Actinomycetota; Actinomycetes; Micrococcales; Microbacteriaceae.